Molecule: ribosomal RNA, 301 nt
Filed under: uncultured bacterium
Lineage: Bacteria
Description: partial 16S ribosomal RNA
Rfam family: Bacterial small subunit ribosomal RNA
Source: RNAcentral
CAGUAGCCGCGGGAAUACGUAGGUGGCAAGCGUUGUCCGGAAUUAUUGGGCGUAAAGGGCUCGCAGGCGGUUUCUUAAGUCUGAUGUGAAAGCCCCCGGCUCAACCGGGGAGGGUCAUUGGAAACUGGGAAACUUGAGUGCAGAAGAGGAGAGUGGAAUUCCACGUGUAGCGGUGAAAUGCGUAGAGAUGUGGAGGAACACCAGUGGCGAAAGCGAGUGCCUGGACCCUUUCUGACGCUGAGACGCGAAAGCCAGGGGAGCGAACGGGAUUAGAUACCCGCGUAGUCCCUGUCUCUUAUAC